RNAcentral lists this ribosomal RNA (992 nucleotides) under human gut metagenome. Its description in RNAcentral is "bacterial LSU rRNA". It matches the Rfam family "Bacterial large subunit ribosomal RNA", at positions 1934 to 2925 of the family's 2925-position model. The record is from RNAcentral.
CCGUAACUAUAACGGUCCUAAGGUAGCGAAAUUCCUUGUCGGGUAAGUUCCGACCUGCACGAAAGGCGCAACGACUUGGGCGCUGUCUCGACCAUGGACCCGGUGAAAUUGCACUGGUCGUGAAGAUGCGACUUACCCGCGGAAGGACGGAAAGACCCCGUGAACCUUCACUGCAGCUUGGCAUUGGCCGCUGGUCCCGCGUGUAGAGGAUAGGCAGGAGGCAUCGAUCCGGAGGCGCCAGCCCCCGGGGAGCCGCCCUUGGAAUACUGCCCUCGCGCGACCGGCGUCCUAACCCGAGGCCGUCAACCGGCUCGGGGACCGUGCCAGGCGGGCAGUUUGACUGGGGCGGUCGCCUCCUAAAGGGUAACGGAGGCGCGCGAAGGUCCGCUCGGGACGGUCGGCAACCGUCCUUUUGAAUGCAAGAGUACAAGCGGGCUUGACUGCGAGGCCCACAAGCCGAGCAGGUGCGAAAGCAGGCUCUAGUGAUCCGGCGGCCCCGAGUGGGUGGGCCGUCGCUCAACGGAUAAAAGGUACUCCGGGGAUAACAGGCUGAUCUUGCCCAAGAGUCCACAUCGACGGCAAGGUUUGGCACCUCGAUGUCGGCUCAUCGCAUCCUGGGGCUGGAGCAGGUCCCAAGGGUACGGCUGUUCGCCGUUUAAAGCGGUACGCGAGCUGGGUUCAGAACGUCGUGAGACAGUUCGGUCCCUAUCCGGCGUGGGCGUAGGAUAUCUGAGAGGAGCUGUCCUUAGUACGAGAGGACCGGGAUGGACGGACCGCUGGUGGACCGGUUGGCUUGCCAAAGCCAUGGCCGGGUAGCCAAGUCCGGAAGGGAUAAACGCUGAAGGCAUCUAAGCGUGAAGCCCCCCUCAAGAUGAGAUAUCCCAUUCUUAGUGAAGUAAACCCCCUUGAAGACGACGAGGUAGAUAGGGCAGAGGUGGAAGUGUGGUAACACAUGGAGCUGACUGUUACUAAUCGGGUGAGGGCUUGACCAA